ACCAUGCCAGUCGAACGUGAAAGCACUUCGGUGUGAGUAGAGUGGCGGACGGGUGAGUAACGCGUGGGAAUCUACCCAGUAGUGGGGGACAGCUACCGGAAACGGUAGCUAAUACCGCAUACGCCCUAUGGGGGAAAGGCUUCGGCCGCUAUUGGAUGAGCCCGCGUCAGAUUAGCUAGUUGGUAGGGUAAAGGCCUACCAAGGCAACGAUCUGUAGCUGGUCUGAGAGGACGAACAGCCACACUGGGACUGAGACACGGCCCAGACACCUACGGGAGGCAGCAGUGGGGAAUAUUGGACAAUGGGCGAAAGCCUGAUCCAGCAAUGCCGCGUGUGUGAAGAAGGCCUGCGGGUUGUAAAGCACUUUCAGUUGGGAAGAUGAUGACGUUACCAACAGAAGAAGCACCGGCUAAAUCCGUGCCAGCGGCCGCGGUAAUACGGAUGGUGCGAGCGUUAAUCGGAAUUACUGGGCGUAAAGCGCGCGUAGGCGGCUAAGUCAGUCAGAAGUGAAAGCCCCGGGCUCAACCUGGGAAUUGCUUUUGAUACUGCUUAGCUAGAGUUUGGUAGAGGAUAGUGGAAUUCCAGGUGUAGCGGUGAAAUGCGUAGAUAUCUGGAGGAACAUCAGUGGCGAAGGCGACUGUCUGGACCAAAACUGACGCUGAGGUGCGAAAGCGUGGGUAGCAAACAGGAUUAGAUACCCUGGUAG
This 706-nucleotide ribosomal RNA is filed under the name uncultured Gammaproteobacteria bacterium. RNAcentral's name for it is "bacterial SSU rRNA". It matches the Rfam family "Bacterial small subunit ribosomal RNA", at positions 53 to 793 of the family's 1533-position model. Lineage: Bacteria; Pseudomonadati; Pseudomonadota; Gammaproteobacteria. The record is from RNAcentral.